Molecule: long non-coding RNA, 272 nt
Filed under: Dermacentor andersoni
Lineage: Eukaryota; Metazoa; Arthropoda; Arachnida; Ixodida; Ixodidae
Description: uncharacterized LOC126520480
Rfam family: U5 spliceosomal RNA (bases 151-272)
Source: RNAcentral
ACGUAGAAAAGCCCAGUCAGCUAUAUACUUGCUAAAGAAUAAGGAGAGUUGAGUUUUAAGCAUGCAAAUUUGAGAAAAGCUUGAAGGUUCGCUUGGCCAAGUAAGCGACCCCAUUUUGGAGACCAGCCAAGGUAAGCAUAGGUAACUUCAUCGCUCAGGUCUCUCCUCAAAUCCACGUAUUAAUCUUUCGCCUUUUACUAAAGAUUACCGUGGGGAGGGACACUCCAAUGAGCCUAUAGGCCAAUUUUUGAGAGGCCUUGCCCGUUUGGGCA